UCUUUUCUGGCUGUGCGCCUCUUGGGGCUGCACACCAUUGAUAAACCACCAACACCUGUGAACCACAUUCGACCGUGGCAAUAUUCGAGGAUGUUCAAGAAUUUAUUCAAGAAUGUCUUAGAUUAUGCUACUGCCGGAUCACAUUCAACAACUUGUCCAGAAGGUAAAAAACCAUAAAGUAACAACUUUCAACAACGGAUCUCUUGGCUCUCGCAUCGAUGAAGAACGCAGCGAAUUGCGAUACGUAAUGUGAAUUGCAGAAUUCAGUGAAUCAUCAAAUCUUUGAACGCAUCUUGCGCUCCUUGGUAUUCCAUGGAGCAUGCCUGUUUGAGUGUCACGUAAACCCUCACAACUUGCGAUGUCAAAAUCGUGACGCGUGGAUUUGGACUUUGCCGUAGUUGGCUCGUCCUGAAAUAUAUUAGCUUGGGUUCCGUUAGAGUGCUCGGCAUUGGUGUGAUAAUUAUCUGCGCCGCCGCCUUAGACCUCUUCUGUUAAGCCCUGCUUACAAUCGUCCCUUGUGGGACAAAUUACAUUAUACUUUGACCUCAAAUCAGGUAGGACUACCCGCUGAACUUAAGCAUAUCAAUAAGCGGAG
Molecule: ribosomal RNA, 595 nt
Filed under: uncultured fungus
Lineage: Eukaryota; Fungi
Description: eukaryotic LSU rRNA
Rfam family: 5.8S ribosomal RNA (bases 184-337)
Source: RNAcentral